CAGCAGCCGCGGUAAUACAGAGGAUGCAAGCGUUAUCCGGAAUGAUUGGGCGUAAAGCGUCUGUAGGUGGCUUUUCAAGUCCGCCGUCAAAUCCCAGGGCUCGACCCUGGACAGGCGGUGGAAACUACCAAGCUGGAGUACGGUAGGGGCAGAGGGAAUUUCCGGUGGGGCGGUGAAAUGCGUUGAGAUCGGAAAGAACACCGAUGGCGAAGGCAGCCCCCUGGGCCAAUACUGACGCUCAUGCACGAAAGCGUGGGGAGCAAACAGGAUUAGAGACCCCGGUAGUCCCUGUCUCUUAUAC
This 301-nucleotide ribosomal RNA is filed under the name uncultured bacterium. RNAcentral describes it as "partial 16S ribosomal RNA". It matches the Rfam family "Bacterial small subunit ribosomal RNA", at positions 509 to 807 of the family's 1533-position model. The record is from RNAcentral.